RNAcentral lists this ribosomal RNA (590 nucleotides) under Rosacea flaccida. RNAcentral describes it as "partial 16S ribosomal RNA". It matches the Rfam family "Bacterial large subunit ribosomal RNA", at positions 1833 to 2597 of the family's 2925-position model. The record is from RNAcentral. Lineage: Eukaryota; Metazoa; Cnidaria; Hydrozoa; Siphonophorae; Prayidae.
GCCAGAUGAAAAAUAUCAGGUGUUACCUGCCCAGUGGAAUAUAAGUACUUUGAAUUAUAAAAGGUUUAAAGUUCAAUUAUAUUUUAAACGGCGGCUUUAAUCUGAGAGUCACAAUGUAGCAUAAUAAUUUGCCUUUUAAUUGAAGGAUAGUAUGAAUGGUGUCACGAAUACUUCAUUGUCUUAAAUAAAAACUUUUAUAAAAUUGAAAUAAUAGUGAAGAUGCUAUUUAAAAUUGUAAGACGAAAAGACCCUAAGAACUUUACUACUUUUAAAUAAUAAUGUUACUUAUAUUAUUUACAGGUAGUUUGAGUGGGGUGCUCAUCUUUUAUUAAAAACAUUGAUAAGUAAAAAUAUUUAAUUACUGUUUAAAUAAUAAUUUUAACAGUUACAAAAGUAGACAUAAAAUGACCCAAUUAUUUAUAAAUAAACUAUUACUAUUGUUGUUAGAUAACAGUUACCUUAGGGAUAACAGAACAAAGAUGAAAUAAAGAUGUUAUUGUUUCCAUUACUUGUUACCUCGAUGUUGAAUUAUGGUAUCCAAAUUUUAGCAGAAGAAAUUAAGGGUAGGACUGUUCGUCCUUUAAAACCGU